UACGGAGGGGGCUAGCGUUGUUCGGAAUUACUGGGCGUAAAGCGCACGUAGGCGGCUUUACAAGUCAGAGGUGAAAGCCCGGGGCUCAACUCCGGAACUGCCUCUGAGACUGUAUCGCUUGAACACGGGAGAGGUGAGUGGAAUUCCGAGUGUAGAGGUGAAAUUCGUAGAUAUUCGGAAGAACACCAGUGGCGAAGGCGGCUCACUGGACCGUUGUUGACGCUGAGGUGCGAAAGCGUGGGGAGCAAACAGG
Molecule: ribosomal RNA, 253 nt
Filed under: uncultured bacterium
Lineage: Bacteria
Description: partial 16S ribosomal RNA
Rfam family: Bacterial small subunit ribosomal RNA
Source: RNAcentral